This 253-nucleotide ribosomal RNA is filed under the name uncultured bacterium. RNAcentral describes it as "partial 16S ribosomal RNA". It matches the Rfam family "Bacterial small subunit ribosomal RNA", at positions 524 to 776 of the family's 1533-position model. The record is from RNAcentral.
GACGAAGGAUGCAAGCGUUAUCCGGAUUCAUUGGGUUUAAAGGGAGCGUAGGUGGCCUUAUAAGUCAGUGGUGAAAUCUCUGGGCUUAACCCAGAAAUUGCCAUUGAUACUGUAGGGCUUGAGUAUAGUUGCCGUUGGCGGAAUAUGACAUGUAGUGGUGAAAUACAUAGAGAUGUCAUAGAACACCGAUUGCGAAGGCAGCUGACGAAACUAUAACUGACACUGAGGCGCGAAAGUGCGGGGAUCAAACAGG